UAGGACUCCCGAUCACCACAGUUUCAUCAAAGAAGAAGACUCCUAUCGGGAGUCUUCUUCCCGAUUUCUCCUGUUUUUUUUUUCUUUUGGGCUUGGGCUUGGGUCUUGAUAGUUGGGCUUGGGCUUGGGCUAUAACAGAGACCCUAAGGGACCUUCGGAGGCCAACUUAUAAGACUCUCAAUCUACGAUCAUGAGAUGUGCAUACACUGCCUACAGGCACAGGCUACCUCUCACGUGAAGAUAAGAUGUGCACACUGCCUAUGGGCAUACGCUAUUUGUCGCAUGAAGAUGAGAAGUACACAUGCUGCCUAUGGACACACGCUACCUCUCGUGCUUUGAGAAGUGCACACACUGCCUACGGGCACAUGCUGCCUCUUGCAUGAAGAUGAGAAGUGCACACACUGCUCCACUUAUAAGAUGAGCCGAGCACAUGUUGCCUCUCCCACUACCAAAAGUGUACAUGCUGCCUACGGGCACACGCUGCCUCUCGUAUGGAGAUGAGACGUGUACAUGCUGCUCUGCUCACAAGAUGAGCCGAGCGCACGCUUCUUCUCAUGCUAUGAGAAGUGCACACAUUGCCUUUUGCAUGAAGAUGAGAAGUGCACACGCUGCUCCGCUCACAAGAUGAGCCGAGCACAUGCUACCUCUCAUGCUACGAGAAGUGUACAUGCUGCCUAUGAGCACACACUACCUCUCGUAUGAAGAUGAAAAAUGCACACACUGCUCUACUCACAAGAUGAGCCGAGCACAUGCUACCUCUCACAUUAUGAGAAGUGCACACGUUGCCUCUCGC
This 793-nucleotide long non-coding RNA is filed under the name Elaeis guineensis (African oil palm). Its description in RNAcentral is "long non-coding RNA (EGUI_LNC048401)". The record is from RNAcentral. Lineage: Eukaryota; Viridiplantae; Streptophyta; Magnoliopsida; Arecales; Arecaceae.